AACGUGCAGCGGCUUGUCUGAGCUUCAGAGUCCCUGAAAUUUGUAUAAUGUUCCUUAGAUAAAAUCCCCCUGAAAAACAGAAGAACCAGAGGCUCACCAUGCAACAUCUCAAGACCAAAAGAGCACAGAGGCUCUGCUGAGCUCCAGAGCAUGAGUCCCUUAAAGCUUUUUUUCAUGCUCCAGAGAUCCAAUCCACUUUCCCCUACAGGGUGGAAGAACCAGGACGUUCUCUUACACUAAGGCAUUUUGGCAAUGUCUUUGGCAGCGCAGUUUGCAGGCACUCUGGAGGUCUUGCUUUUGAAUCGUUUCGCAGUGAUAUUUAUGUAGCACAAGCAAUGAAAACGAUGACAAGCAUCACGAGGUUCUCCUUCUUUCUCCUCUUUUCUUUCUCUUUCCAUGCACACUCACACACAAAUAGAUUAGAACGCAACACACAUUUAGAUUAGAUGAGAAUAAAAGGGCACGUUUUUAUAGUUUCUUAUAUUUGUAUAGCACCAGCACACCUACAAACCAUGCUGAACCUGCUGAAAUCAUGACUCUCCAUCUUCACCGUCCAUUACAAAUGUGUAUUCUGCUGAAAUCCAAUGAGAAAAGAGCAGCAAUAAGGCUUGGAGGAAUUGAUCCUUUAAACAAAUAAAGCAGGACCUAUGCUCCAAACCAAAACUUCUUGCAAAGGAGGUACAGUAUCACACCAGAGGCCAUAAAUAGAAACUGAAUGAAGUUGCUGUCAAACCGAAUGUAAAUGACAUGAUUUCACCACAGUGACACAAGACAUGUCUGACUCACGGAUCAUGUUGAUAGACUGUAGGAAGAACCAGCCCCAGAAUCCCCAUUAUACUGUGUGACUCCGCUUUUGACUUUCCAUUGUGUAAUCCCAUACUUCAGCUUCUGCUAAUAAUAAUAAUAAUAAUAAUAAUAAUAAUAAUAAUAAUAAUAAUAAAACCAAUAAUAA
Molecule: long non-coding RNA, 952 nt
Organism: Silurus meridionalis
Lineage: Eukaryota; Metazoa; Chordata; Actinopteri; Siluriformes; Siluridae
Exons: 2
Source: RefSeq, a predicted model, not a curated record